Non-coding RNA from Bacillus sp. FJAT-22058, 91 nucleotides. Lineage: Bacteria; Bacillati; Bacillota; Bacilli; Caryophanales; Bacillaceae. The record is from Rfam.
GAUUAUUUUAGGCAAAUUUUAUGAAAGUAAAAGACGCAAAGCCACGGGCCAAAACCAACAACUUAGUUGUCAUGGCAGCCGGGUUGCCAAG